GAAAUGCGAUAAGUAAUGUGAAUUGCAGAAUUCAGUGAAUCAUCGAAUCUUUGAACGCACAUUGCGCCCCCUGGUAUUCCGGGGGGCAUGCCUGUUCGAGCGUCAUUUCACCACUCAAGCCUCGCUUGGUAUUGGGCAACGCGGUCCGCCGCGUGCCUCAAAUCGACCGGCUGGGUCUUCUGUCCCCUAAGCGUUGUGGAAACUAUUCGCUAAAGGGUGUUCGGGAGGCUACGCCGUAAAACAACCCUAUUUCUAAGGUUGACCUCGGAUCAGGUAGGGAUACCCGCUGAACUUAAGC
RNAcentral lists this unclassified non-coding RNA (298 nucleotides) under plant metagenome. Its description in RNAcentral is "partial contains 5.8S ribosomal RNA, internal transcribed spacer 2, and large subunit ribosomal RNA". The stretch from base 1 to 105 matches the Rfam family "5.8S ribosomal RNA", at positions 50 to 154 of the family's 154-position model. The record is from RNAcentral.